This 433-nucleotide ribosomal RNA is filed under the name uncultured bacterium. Its description in RNAcentral is "partial 16S ribosomal RNA". It matches the Rfam family "Bacterial small subunit ribosomal RNA", at positions 29 to 507 of the family's 1533-position model. The record is from RNAcentral.
AACGAACGCUGGCGGCAUGCCUAACACAUGCAAGUCGAACGUGACCUUCGGGUCUAGUGGCGCACGGGUGCGUAACGCGUGGGAACCUGCCUUUGGGUUCGGAAUAACUCAGAGAAAUUUGAGCUAAUACCGGAUGAUGGCUUCGGACCAAAGAUUUAUCGCCUUUAGAUGGGCCCGCGUUGGAUUAGCUAGUUGGUAGGGUAAAGGCUUACCAAGGCGACGAUUCAUAGAUGGUCUGAGAGGAUGCUCAGCCACACUGGGACUGAGACACGGCCCAGACUCCUACGGGAAGCAGCAGUGGGGAAUAUUGGACAAUGGGCGAAAGCCUGAUCCAGCAAGGCCGCGUGAGUGAUGAAGGCCUUAGGGUUGUAAAGCUCUUUUACCCGAGAUGAUAAUGACAGUACCGGGAGAAUAAGCUCCGGCUAACUCCGUG